RNAcentral lists this ribosomal RNA (497 nucleotides) under uncultured bacterium. Its description in RNAcentral is "partial 16S ribosomal RNA". It matches the Rfam family "Bacterial small subunit ribosomal RNA", at positions 28 to 507 of the family's 1533-position model. The record is from RNAcentral.
GAUGAACGCUGGCGGCGUGCCUAAUACAUGCAAGUCGAGCGAACAGACGAGGAUCUUGCUCCUCUGACGUUAGCGGCGGACGGGUGAGUAACACGUGGAUAACCUACCUAUAAGACUGGGAUAACUUCGGGAAACCGGAGCUAAUACCGGAUAAUAUAUUGAACCGCAUGGUUCAAUAGUGAAAGACGGUUUUGCUGUCACUUAUAGAUGUAUCCGCGCCGCAUUAGCUAGUUGGUAAGGUAACGGCUUACCAAGGCAACGAUGCGUAGCCGACCUGAGAGGGUGAUCGGCCACACUGGAACUGAGACACGGUCCAGACUCCUACGGGAGGCAGCAGUAGGGAAUCUUCCGCAAUGGGCGAAAGCCUGACGGAGCAACGCCGCGUGAGUGAUGAAGGUCUUCGGAUCGUAAAACUCUGUUAUUAGGGAAGAACAAAUGUGUAAGUAACUAUGCACGUCUUGACGGUACCUAAUCAGAAAGCCACGGCUAACUACGUG